Molecule: long non-coding RNA, 726 nt
Organism: Cebus imitator (Panamanian white-faced capuchin)
Lineage: Eukaryota; Metazoa; Chordata; Mammalia; Primates; Cebidae
Exons: 2
Source: RefSeq, a predicted model, not a curated record
UGCUGUGCUUGUCCCCACGCGCCGGCGAAGCCCCGAGGCUCAGCGGGGAGGCCCCGGAUCCGGCCACCCCCGGUCUGCAGUGGUCAGGUCUCGCUGGCAUCUGCUACACAAACCCGGAUUGGUGCCCUGGCUCCUUUCCUUCAUGUCAUUGGAACCCCCACUCAAAAUCGUCAAAAUGAAGACAGUGGUCAUGUCUCCCUCUCGGGGUUGGACUAAAAGGGCCUACUGUGAGAGACGGAAAGCAAAGCUCCUGGCACAGGGCCGGGCACACGGUGGGCACUAGGUAAUGACCGUUAUUCAUUCAACCUCAGCGAGUAAUUACGGGGGAGGGCCAUGUAAGUGCUUGCUUGGGAACCAGUCACAUCGGUGAAGAAGACGGCCAUGGGCUUAUGUUUUGGUGGCAAGACAGCUCCUCUGCCUCAAAAAGGAAAAGAAAAGAGAAGAGAAAAUAAAAAGAAUAUAGGAUUGCAUCUCCUUGCUCCUGUCCACGUGACUUGCUUUGGUCAACACAUUGUGAGCAGAAGAGAUAUGUUACUCUUGAUGAGAACCUUUAAGAACCAUAUUUCUCUCACCAUGCCAUGGUAAUCAGCGAUCCCCUGAUGAUGGGGUGGCUACAGGCUGGGUCUGGGAAUGAGGAUGACUUAAAACGAAGCCCAGCCACAUCUGCUGGGCAUACAGCAUGAACGAGAAAUAAAUCUUUUGGGUUUUGUUUGUUGUACAGCAUAA